Molecule: small RNA, 598 nt
Filed under: Pongo abelii (Sumatran orangutan)
Lineage: Eukaryota; Metazoa; Chordata; Mammalia; Primates; Hominidae
Description: processed transcript
Source: RNAcentral
CCUGGGGAGCGGGAGACACCGCUUCGCAGCCCUCGGUUCUGCUUUGCUGCUUGUAGACUCUGCACAGUGGUGGGGGACUGUCAGAGUUGGGGUCACACAGGCUGCUGCGCCAGGCACCUGAGGACUGGGCUGCUUAUCAGGAGGGUCAGCUAGUCAGUUGGGUGGGCAUGGGGCAGGCCUUGGACACAAAGGAAGACGUGGACAGAGUGGAUGGUGGGCCUGAUUCCGGAGGCCACUGGGAUUUCCAGACCUGGGAUCAGGACAAGGGAUGUCUCCCUUCAUCCAUGGACUUAAACCCUGAGGAAUGUCCUGACUCAGCCUUUUCACUAAAUGACCUUGGGCGAAUUAUGGACCCUCUUAGAGCCUCACCUGUCAAUAGGGAAUAAGAAUUCUUAGGCCCCAGGUGGUUAUCGCAGCAUCGGCUCCAAUGCAAGAAGCACUUAGUCUGAAGAGGACACGCAAGGAACUGCAGGAUCUCAUGCACAUCUCGCGGGCCCGGAAGCCAGCAUUCAUCCUGGGCUCCAUGAGGGACGAGAAGCGGACCCACGACCACCUGCUGUGCCUGGACGGAGGAGGAGUGAAAGGCCUCGUCAUCAUC